This is a long non-coding RNA of Corapipo altera (White-ruffed manakin), 423 nucleotides long. RefSeq lists it as uncharacterized. The record is from RefSeq and is a predicted model, not a curated record. Lineage: Eukaryota; Metazoa; Chordata; Aves; Passeriformes; Pipridae. The transcript has 3 exons.
CUUCCGUUACCGGCGGCCGGGGAAGGGGCGGGGCGAUCGCCCGCGCUGGGCUGCGCCCCAUUGGCUCGUCAGCGCCGGGCAUGUUUGCUGAACUGUUUUCAGGGGUAAAGAGUUUUUCCCUUCUGUCCAGCCAGAAUUUCUUGUGUUGCAACUUGUGUACAUUGACUCUUUCCUUUCGAUAUAACCCUGUGAGAUGAGUUCCCUCAGUCUUCCUUCUGAUGCCUUCACUUGGACAACACAGGUGCUGUGAAUUGCCAAGGAAUGCAUCACAGCCAGCUGAAUCUGAACCACACUUGAGCCAGCACUGUGACAGUGGUUGGAAACUUCCUUCUACAAGGUAUGGAGGCAUCUACUGAGUUUGUUUGCUACCUCACGUGACCUGUUGAUUGAGGGGAAUUAGACCUGAGACUGUUGAAGAGAGUA